This 252-nucleotide ribosomal RNA is filed under the name uncultured bacterium. RNAcentral's name for it is "partial 16S ribosomal RNA". It matches the Rfam family "Bacterial small subunit ribosomal RNA", at positions 525 to 776 of the family's 1533-position model. The record is from RNAcentral.
ACGGAGGGUCCAAGCGUUAUCCGGAUUUAUUGGGUUUAAAGGGUCCGUAGGCGGGUCGGUAAGUCAGUGGUGAAAUCCUGCAGCUCAACUGUAGAACUGCCAUUGAUACUGUCGAUCUUGAAUGCGCUUGACGUUGGCGGAAUGUGCCGUGUAGCGGUGAAAUGCUUAGAUAUGGCACAGAACACCGAUCGUGAAGACAGCUAACGAAAGCGUGAUUGACGCUGAGGGACGAAAGCGUGGGGAGCGAACAGG